GAUGAACGCUGGCGGCGUGCCUAAUACAUGCAAGUCGAGCGAACGGACGAGAAGCUUGCUUCUCUGAUGUUAGCGGCGGACGGGUGAGUAACACGUGGAUAACCUACCUAUAAGACUGGGAUAACUUCGGGAAACCGGAGCUAAUACCGGAUAAUAUUUUGAACCGCAUGGUUCAAAAGUGAAAGACGGUCUUGCUGUCACUUAUAGAUGGAUCCGCGCUGCAUUAGCUAGUUGGUAAGGUAACGGCUUACCAAGGCAACGAUGCAUAGCCGACCUGAGAGGGUGAUCGGCCACACUGGAACUGAGACACGGUCCAGACUCCUACGGGAGGCAGCAGUAGGGAAUCUUCCGCAAAGGGCGAAAGCAUGACGGAGCAACGCCGCGUGAGUGAUGAAGGUCUUCGGAUCGUAAAACUCUGUUAUUAGGGAAGAACAUAUGUGUAAGUAACUGUGCACAUCUUGACGGUACCUAAUCAGAAAGCCACGGCUAACUACGUG
Molecule: ribosomal RNA, 497 nt
Filed under: uncultured bacterium
Lineage: Bacteria
Description: partial 16S ribosomal RNA
Rfam family: Bacterial small subunit ribosomal RNA
Source: RNAcentral